AUUGAACGCUGGCGGCAUGCUUUACACAUGCAAGUCGGACGGGAUUGAGAAGCUUGCUUUUCAUGAGAGUGGCGCACGGGUGCGUAACACGUAUGUAACCUACCCAUAUCAGGGGGAUAGCCUCUCGAAAGAGAGAUUAAGACCGCAUAACAUUAUUGAAUGGCAUCAUUUAAUAAUCAAAUAUUUAUAGGAUAUGGAUGGGCAUGCGGAACAUUAGCUAGUUGGUAAGGUAACGGCUUACCAAGGCUACGAUGUUUAGGGGAUCUGAGAGGAGGACCCCCCACACUGGUACUGAGACACGGACCAGACUCCUACGGGAGGCAGCAGUAAGGAAUAUUGGUCAAUGGACGGAAGUCUGAACCAGCCAUGCCGCGUGCAGGAAGACGGCCCUAUGGGUUGUAAACUGCUUUUGCAGGGGAAUAAACCUCGAUACGUGUAUCGAGCUGAAUGUACUCUGAGAAUAAGGAUCGGCUAACUCCGUGCCAGCCGCCGCCGUAA
Molecule: ribosomal RNA, 498 nt
Filed under: uncultured bacterium
Lineage: Bacteria
Description: partial 16S ribosomal RNA
Rfam family: Bacterial small subunit ribosomal RNA
Source: RNAcentral